GAACACACAAUAACGAGCAAAAUAAGGUGUAUGAUGAUAUAUGU
This 44-nucleotide non-coding RNA is filed under the name Trypanosoma brucei brucei. The record is from RNAcentral. Lineage: Eukaryota; Euglenozoa; Kinetoplastea; Trypanosomatida; Trypanosomatidae.